Molecule: ribosomal RNA, 427 nt
Filed under: uncultured bacterium
Lineage: Bacteria
Description: partial 16S ribosomal RNA
Rfam family: Bacterial small subunit ribosomal RNA
Source: RNAcentral
UGGGGAAUAUUGCACAAUGGGCGCAAGCCUGAUGCAGCCAUGCCGCGUGUAUGAAGAAGGCCUUCGGGUUGUAAAGUACUUUCAGCGGGGAGGAAGGCGAUAAGGUUAAUAACCUUGUCGAUUGACGUUACCCGCAGAAGAAGCACCGGCUAACUCCGUGCCAGCAGCCGCGGUAAUACGGAGGGUGCAAGCGUUAAUCGGAAUUACUGGGCGUAAAGCGCACGCAGGCGGUCUGUCAAGUCGGAUGUGAAAUCCCCGGGCUCAACCUGGGAACUGCAUUCGAAACUAGCAGGCUAGAGUCUUGUAGAGGGGGGUAGAAUUCCAGGUGUAGCGGUGAAAUGCGUAGAGAUCUGGAGGAAUACCGGUGGCGAAGGCGGCCCCCUGGACAAAGACUGACGCUCAGGUGCGAAAGCGUGGGGAGCAAACA